Molecule: ribosomal RNA, 789 nt
Filed under: uncultured bacterium
Lineage: Bacteria
Description: bacterial SSU rRNA
Rfam family: Bacterial small subunit ribosomal RNA
Source: RNAcentral
AGAGUUUGAUCAUGGCUCAGAUUGAACGCUGGCGGCAUGCCUUACACAUGCAAGUCGAACGGUAACGCGGGGCAACCUGGCGACGAGUGGCGAACGGGUGAGUAAUAUAUCGGAACGUGCCCAGUAGUGGGGGAUAGCCCGGCGAAAGCCGGAUUAAUACCGCAUACGACCUACGGGUGAAAGCGGGGGAUCGCAAGACCUCGCGCUAUUGGAGCGGCCGAUAUCAGAUUAGGUAGUUGGUGGGGUAAAAGCCCACCAAGGCUACGAUCCGUAGCUGGUCUGAGAGGAUGAUCAGCCACACUGGAACUGAGACACGGUCCAGACUCCUACGGGAGGCAGCAGUGGGGAAUUUUGGACAAUGGGCGCAAGCCUGAUCCAGCCAUGCCGCGUGAGUGAAGAAGGCCUUCGGGUUGUAAAGCUCUUUCGGCAGGAACGAAAUGGUUCGUGCUAAUACCACGGACUGAUGACGGUACCUGAAGAAGAAGCACCGGCUAACUACGUGCCAGCAGCCGCGGUAAUACGUAGGGUGCAGGCGUUAAUCGGAAUUACUGGGCGUAAAGCGUGCGCAGGCGGUUUCUUAAGUCAGAUGUGAAAGCCCCGGGCUUAACCUGGGAACUGCGUUUGAAACUGGGAGACUUGAGUGUGGCAGAGGGGGGUGGAAUUCCACGUAGCAGUGAAAUGCGUAGAUAUGUGGAGGAACACCGAUGGCGAAGGCAGCCCCCUGGGUUAACACUGACGCUCAUGCACGAAAGCGUGGGGAGCAAACAGGAUUAGAUACCCUAGUAGUCC